AGAGUUUCAUCCUGGCUCAGGACGAACGCUGGCGGCGCGCCUAACACAUGCAAGUCGAACGAGCGAGAGAGAGCUUGCUUUCUCAAGCGAGUGGCGAACGGGUGAGUAACGCGUGAGGAACCUGCCUCAAAGAGGGGGACAACAGUUGGAAACGACUGCUAAUACCGCAUAAGCCCACAGCUCGGCAUCGAGCAGAGGGAAAAGGAGCGAUCCGCUUUGAGAUGGCCUCGCGUCCGAUUAGCUAGUUGGUGAGGUAAUGGCCCACCAAGGCGACGAUCGGUAGCCGGACUGAGAGGUUGAACGGCCACAUUGGGACUGAGACACGGCCCAGACUCCUACGGGAGGCAGCAGUGGGGAAUAUUGCACAAUGGGGGAAACCCUGAUGCAGCGACGCCGCGUGGAGGAAGAAGGUCUUCGGAUUGUAAACUCCUGUUGUUGAGGAAGAUAAUGACGGUACUCAACAAGGAAGUGACGGCUAACUACGUGCCAGCAGCCGCGGUAAAACGUAGGUCACAAGCGUUGUCCGGAAUUACUGGGUGUAAAGGGAGCGCAGGCGGGAAGACAAGUUGGAAGUGAAAUCUAUGGGCUCAACCCAUAAACUGCUUUCAAAACUGUUUUUCUUGAGUAGUGCAGAGGUAGGCGGAAUUCCCGGUGUAGCGGUGGAAUGCGUAGAUAUCGGGAGGAACACCAGUGGCGAAGGCGGCCUACUGGGCACCAACUGACGCUGAGGCUCGAAAGUGUGGGUAGCAAACAGGAUCAGAUACCCUGGUAGUCCACACCGUAAACGAUGAUUACUAGGUGUUGGAGGAUUGACCCCUUCAGUGCCGCAGUUAACACAAUAAGUAAUCCACCUGGGGAGUACGACCGCAAGGUUGAAACUCAAAGGAAUUGACGGGGGCCCGCACAAGCAGUGGAGUAUGUGGUUUAAUUCGACGCAACGCGAAGAACCUUACCAAGUCUUGACAUCCCUUGACGAACAUAGAAAUAUGUUUUCUCUUCGGAGCAAGGAGACAGGUGGUGCAUGGUUGUCGUCAGCUCGUGUCGUGAGAUGUUGGGUUAAGUCCCGCAACGAGCGCAACCCUUACUGUCAGUUACUACGCAAGAGGACUCUGGCAGGACUGCCGUUGACAAAACGGAGGAAGGUGGGGAUGACGUCAAAUCAUCAUGCCCUUUAUGACUUGGGCUACACACGUACUACAAUGGCGUUAAACAAAGAGAAGCAAGACCGCGAGGUGGAGCAAAACUCAGAAACAACGUCCCAGUUCGGACUGCAGGCUGCAACUCGCCUGCACGAAGUCGGAAUUGCUAGUAAUCGUGGAUCAGCAUGCCACGGGAAUACAUCCCGGGGUGUACACACCGCCCGUCAAGGGCGAAUACGCGGCCGGUAAAUCAUUCGCCCAUAGGGUGUCUCGG
RNAcentral lists this ribosomal RNA (1413 nucleotides) under uncultured bacterium. RNAcentral describes it as "bacterial SSU rRNA". It matches the Rfam family "Bacterial small subunit ribosomal RNA". The record is from RNAcentral.